RNAcentral lists this ribosomal RNA (763 nucleotides) under Streptomycetaceae bacterium. Its description in RNAcentral is "bacterial SSU rRNA". It matches the Rfam family "Bacterial small subunit ribosomal RNA", at positions 43 to 823 of the family's 1533-position model. The record is from RNAcentral. Lineage: Bacteria; Bacillati; Actinomycetota; Actinomycetes; Kitasatosporales; Streptomycetaceae.
CGUGCUUAACACAUGCAAGUCGAACGAUGAAGCCCUUCGGGGUGGAUUAGUGGCGAACGGGUGAGUAACACGUGGGCAAUCUGCCCUUCACUCUGGGACAAGCCCUGGAAACGGGGUCUAAUACCGGAUACCACUCCUGCCCGCAUGGGCGGGGGUUGAAAGCUCCGGCGGUGAAGGAUGAGCCCGCGGCCUAUCAGCUUGUUGGUGGGGUAAUGGCCCACCAAGGCGACGACGGGUAGCCGGCCUGAGAGGGCGACCGGCCACACUGGGACUGAGACACGGCCCAGACUCCUACGGGAGGCAGCAGUGGGGAAUAUUGCACAAUGGGCGAAAGCCUGAUGCAGCGACGCCGCGUGAGGGAUGACGGCCUUCGGGUUGUAAACCUCUUUCAGCAGGGAAGAAGCGAAAGUGACGGUACCUGCAGAAGAAGCGCCGGCUAACUACGUGCCAGCAGCCGCGGUAAUACGUAGGGCGCAAGCGUUGUCCGGAAUUAUUGGGCGUAAAGAGCUCGUAGGCGGCUUGUCACGUCGGAUGUGAAAGCCCGAGGCUUAACCUCGGGUCUGCAUUCGAUACGGGCUAGCUAGAGUGUGGUAGGGGAGAUCGGAAUUCCUGGUGUAGCGGUGAAAUGCGCAGAUAUCAGGAGGAACACCGGUGGCGAAGGCGGAUCUCUGGGCCAUUACUGACGCUGAGGAGCGAAAGCGUGGGGAGCGAACAGGAUUAGAUACCCUGGUAGUCCACGCCGUAAACGUUGGGAACUAGGUGU